UCGAAAGACCUUAUGCUUUUGGAGCGGCCGAUGUCUGAUUAGCUAGUUGGUAAGGUAAUGGCUUACCAAGGCAACGAUCAGUAGUUGGUCUGAGAGGACGACCAGCCACACUGGGACUGAGACACGGCCCAGACUCCUACGGGAGGCAGCAGUGGGGAAUUUUGGACAAUGGGCGCAAGCCUGAUCCAGCAAUGCCGCGUGAGUGAAGAAGGCCUUCGGGUUGUAAAGCUCUUUCAGUUGAGAAGAAAAGAUUGUGACUAAUAAUUGCAAUUCAUGACGGUAUCAACAGAAGAAGCACCGGCUAACUACGUGCCAGCAGCCGCGGUAAUACGUAGGGUGCGAGCGUUAAUCGGAAUUACUGGGCGUAAAGGGUGCGCAGGCGGUUCUGUAAGUCAGAUGUGAAAUCCCCGGGCUUAACCUGGGAACU
This 427-nucleotide ribosomal RNA is filed under the name uncultured Nitrosomonas sp. RNAcentral's name for it is "bacterial SSU rRNA". It matches the Rfam family "Bacterial small subunit ribosomal RNA", at positions 200 to 622 of the family's 1533-position model. Lineage: Bacteria; Pseudomonadati; Pseudomonadota; Betaproteobacteria; Nitrosomonadales; Nitrosomonadaceae. The record is from RNAcentral.